GGUAGGUCUGAGUGCAGUGGUGUUUACAACUAAUUGGUCACAACCAGUUACAGAUUCCUUUGUUCCUUCCCCACUCUCACUGUUUCACUUGACCAGCCUUAA
RNAcentral lists this Y RNA (102 nucleotides) under Propithecus coquereli (Coquerel's sifaka). RNAcentral describes it as "Y RNA (ENSPCOG00000010414.1)". It matches the Rfam family "Y RNA". Rfam says of the family: Y RNAs are components of the Ro ribonucleoprotein particle (Ro RNP), in association with Ro60 and La proteins. The Y RNAs and Ro60 and La proteins are well conserved, but the function of the Ro RNP is not known. The record is from Rfam by way of RNAcentral. Lineage: Eukaryota; Metazoa; Chordata; Mammalia; Primates; Indriidae.